This 84-nucleotide small RNA is filed under the name Enterobacter hormaechei. RNAcentral describes it as "isrB Hfq binding RNA". It matches the Rfam family "isrB Hfq binding RNA". Lineage: Bacteria; Pseudomonadati; Pseudomonadota; Gammaproteobacteria; Enterobacterales; Enterobacteriaceae. The record is from RNAcentral.
AAGACACCUCGUAUUUACCUGGGGAUGUCCGGUUCGCUUUGGUCGGUGAGACCGGACAGGCAGGCCCACUUCGGUGGGCUUUUU